GUAGGGAAUCUUCCACAAUGGACGAAAGUCUGAUGGAGCAACGCCGCGUGAGUGAAGAAGGGUUUCGGCUCGUAAAGCUCUGUUGGUAGUGAAGAAAGAUAGAGGUAGUAACUGGCCUUUAUUUGACGGUAAUUACUUAGAAAGUCACGGCUAACUACGUGCC
RNAcentral lists this ribosomal RNA (163 nucleotides) under uncultured bacterium. RNAcentral describes it as "partial 16S ribosomal RNA". It matches the Rfam family "Bacterial small subunit ribosomal RNA", at positions 354 to 509 of the family's 1533-position model. The record is from RNAcentral.